RNAcentral lists this ribosomal RNA (322 nucleotides) under uncultured bacterium. RNAcentral describes it as "bacterial SSU rRNA". It matches the Rfam family "Bacterial small subunit ribosomal RNA", at positions 32 to 346 of the family's 1533-position model. The record is from RNAcentral.
AAUCAACGCUGGCGGCGUGCCUCAGACAUGCAAGUCGAACGAUUAAACUUUCCUUCGGGAAAGAUAUAAAGUGGCGCACGGGUGAGUAACACGUAGGUAAUGUACCUUUGGGUGGGGAAUAACUUAGGGAAACUUAAGCUAAUACCGCAUAAUGCAGCGGCUCCUUCGGGAGACAGUUGUUAAAGAUUUAUCGCCUAAAGAGCAGCCUGCGGCAGAUUAGCUAGUUGGUAAGGUAACGGCUUACCAAGGCGACGAUCUGUAUCCGACCUGAGAGGGUGGUCGGACACACUGACACUGAAUAACGGGUCAGACUCCUACGGGA